AUUGAACGCUGGCGGCACGCUUUACACAUGCAAGUCGAACGGUAACAGGGUGCUUGCACCGCUGACGAGUGGCGUACGGGUGAGUAAUACAUCGGAAUGUACCCAGUAAUGGGGGAUAACGCUUCGAAAGGAGUGCUAAUACCGCAUACGCCCUGAGGGGGAAAGUGGGGGACCGCAAGGCCUCACGUUAUUGGAGCAGCCGAUGGCUGAUUAGCUAGUUGGUGAGGUAAAGGCUCACCAAGGCGACGAUCAGUAGCGGGUCUUAGAGGACGAUCCGCCACACUGGAACUGAGACACGGUCCAGACUCCUACGGGAGGCAGCAGUGGGGAAUCUUGGACAAUGGGCGAAAGCCUGAUCCAGCAAUGCCGCGUGCGUGAAGAAGGCCUUCGGGUUGUAAAGCGCUUUUGUCUGGGAGCAAAUCCUGGCCCCUAAUACAGGUCGGGGAUGAGAGUACCAGAAGAAUAAGGACCGGCUAACUACGUGCCAGCCGCCGCAGUAA
RNAcentral lists this ribosomal RNA (500 nucleotides) under uncultured bacterium. Its description in RNAcentral is "partial 16S ribosomal RNA". It matches the Rfam family "Bacterial small subunit ribosomal RNA", at positions 30 to 523 of the family's 1533-position model. The record is from RNAcentral.